Molecule: ribosomal RNA, 492 nt
Filed under: uncultured bacterium
Lineage: Bacteria
Description: partial 16S ribosomal RNA
Rfam family: Bacterial small subunit ribosomal RNA
Source: RNAcentral
AGUGAACGCUGGCGGUAGGCCUAACACAUGCAAGUCGAACGGCAGCACAGUAAGAGCUUGCUCUUACGGGUGGCGAGUGGCGGACGGGUGAGGAAUACAUCGGCAUCUACUUUUUCGUGGGGGAUAACGUAGGGAAACUUACGCUAAUACCGCAUACGACCUACGGGUGAAAGCAGGGGAGCUUCGGACCUUGCGCGAUUGAAUUAGCCGACGUCGGAUUAGCUAGUUGGCGGGGUAAAGGCCCACCAAGGCGACGAUGCGUAGCUGGUCUGAGAGGAUGAUCAGCCACACUGGAACUGAGACACGGCCCAGACUCCUACGGGAGGCAGCAGUGGGGAAUAUUGGACAAUGGGCGCAAGCCUGAUCCAGCCAUACCGCGUGGGUGAAGAAGGCCUUCGGGUUGUAAAGCCCUUUUGUUGGGAAAGAAAAGCAGCAGGUGAAUACCCCGCUGUUCUGACGGUACCCAAAGAAUAAGCACCGGCUAACUUCGUG